UUUGACAAACGCUGCAUUUAAUUGAUGUAGAGGAAAGUCCAUGCUCGCACCAUCUGUGAUGAUGGUAGUGUUCGUGCAUAGGGAAAAAAUAACCUAUGGUAGUGUUAACUAACGGCGCUGAAAUGACCUACGUGUUUUCAUAUGGUCAAAAUAGGCAUAAAGUGCCAAAGAGACGAGUUUUUUGAGAAAUCGAAAAAGUGGAACGUGGUAAACCCCGCGAGCGAGAAACCCAAAUUAUGGUAGGGGAACCUAAUAAAAAGGAAUUAAGAACUUUUUAUGGGAUGAAUUUAUAUUCAUAGAUAGAUGUUUGUCGCCUAUUUAAUAGGAACAGAACAUGGCUUAUAA
Molecule: RNase P RNA, 345 nt
Filed under: chicken gut metagenome
Description: Bacterial RNase P class B
Rfam family: Bacterial RNase P class B
About the family: Ribonuclease P (RNase P) is a ubiquitous endoribonuclease, found in archaea, bacteria and eukarya as well as chloroplasts and mitochondria.
Source: RNAcentral